GUACUCUGGGAUAAGCCCGGGAAACUGGGUCUAAUACCGGAUAUGACACCUGAGGGCAUCUUCGGGUGUGGAAAGUUCCGGCGGUACAGGAUGGACCCGCGGCCUAUCAGCUUGUUGGUGGGGUAAUGGCCUACCAAGGCGACGACGGGUAGCCGGCCUGAGAGGGUGACCGGCCACACUGGGACUGAGACACGGCCCAGACUCCUACGGGAGGCAGCAGUGGGGAAUAUUGCACAAUGGGCGAAAGCCUGAUGCAGCGACGCCGCGUGAGGGAUGACGGCCUUCGGGUUGUAAACCUCUUUCAGCAGGGACGAAGCGCAAGUGACGGUACCUGCAGAAGAAGCACCGGCUAACUACGUGCCAGCAGCCGCGGUAAUACGUAGGGUGCGAGCGUUGUCCGGAAUUAUUGGGCGUAAAGAGCUCGUAGGCGGUUUGUCGCGUCGGCCGUGAAAACUUGGGGCUUAACCCCGAGCCUGCGGUCGAUACGGGCAGACUUGAGUUCGGCAGGGGAGACUGGAAUUCCUGGUGUAGCGGUGAAAUGCGCAGAUAUCAGGAGGAACACCGGUGGCGAAGGCGGGUCUCUGGGCCGAUACUGACGCUGAGGAGCGAAAGCGUGGGGAGCGAACAGGAUUAGAUACCCUGGUAGUCCACGCCGUAAACGGUGGGUGCUAGGUGUGGGGGACUUCCACGUUCUCCGUGCCGCAGCUAACGCAUUAAGCACCCCG
This 725-nucleotide ribosomal RNA is filed under the name Actinomycetes bacterium. RNAcentral describes it as "bacterial SSU rRNA". It matches the Rfam family "Bacterial small subunit ribosomal RNA", at positions 133 to 871 of the family's 1533-position model. Lineage: Bacteria; Bacillati; Actinomycetota; Actinomycetes. The record is from RNAcentral.